Non-coding RNA from Ixodes scapularis (black-legged tick), 46 nucleotides. The record is from Rfam. Lineage: Eukaryota; Metazoa; Arthropoda; Arachnida; Ixodida; Ixodidae.
ACAAAGGCGUCUUUAGACGCUACAUUUUUUUGACAAAAAUGCAAGU